CACAGCAGACAGCGGUUACUAAACAUACCCAUACAGAGGUUUUUUUGUCUGCAAAGAAGUGAGAUAUCCUGCACAAAUGCGCUCAUUAACACAAGAUGACUUUAAAUGUCAACUACAACAGAUGUACUAGAACUAAUGUCUUUAAAGAGGUAAUAUUUCUCACUUUUUAUUGACACUCAGAGGAAUUCAUUUAACAUUAACAUUAUUAGCGAAUGUGUCAUCAUUACACUACCGCCAUCAUGAACUGUGCCCUGCAGUCCUUUUGCUGGAGCCUGGGUGGCGCUUUGCGCUCCUCUCGCUGUCUCUCUCCCUCCCUCUCUUGCUUCACAGUAAUCAGCAUCACUUCGGCUGCACACCUGUCAUCAAUCAGCCCUUAUCAUCACCUGCAUUUAAGCCUGCCAGAUCCCAGAAACUCUCGCCAGAGUAUUGCAGCUUCUACAGCGGUACCGCGGCUCCUCAGUCUCCAAAUCUCUGCCACAUCACCUUCAAGCCAGCCGCCCAUCCUCAUCACUGCCUGCCACGUAUUCUCUGCCUCAACAACCCGCCAGCGCAUCUCAAGGACCAUCCCCAUUUCCCUUUCAAUAAACUGCUCAUCACAA
This is a long non-coding RNA of Phyllopteryx taeniolatus (common seadragon), 599 nucleotides long. RefSeq lists it as uncharacterized. NCBI's taxonomy places the organism in Eukaryota, Metazoa, Chordata, Actinopteri, Syngnathiformes, Syngnathidae. The record is from RefSeq and is a predicted model, not a curated record. The transcript has 2 exons.